This 253-nucleotide ribosomal RNA is filed under the name uncultured bacterium. Its description in RNAcentral is "partial 16S ribosomal RNA". It matches the Rfam family "Bacterial small subunit ribosomal RNA", at positions 524 to 776 of the family's 1533-position model. The record is from RNAcentral.
UACAGAGGGUGCGAGCGUUAAUCGGAAUUACUGGGCGUAAAGCGCGCGUAGGCGGCUUUUCAAGUCGAUUGUGAAAUCCCCGGGCUUAACCUGGGAACUGCAGUCGAGACUGUCUAGCUAGAGUAUGGGAGAGGGAAGUGGAAUUUCAGGUGUAGCAGUGAAAUGCGUAGAUAUCUGAAGGAACAUCAGUGGCGAAAGCGACUUCCUGGACCAAUACUGACGCUCAUGUGCGAAAGCGUGGGGAGCAAACAGG